UAGUCUCAUAUGUGAAGAAGCAUACAGUGGUUUGCGAACUUUGUUCGGAAGCUGAAUGGGCUCCAUUUUGAGUGCCACCCUUCCGUUUUGAGUGUUAUGCUGAGGUCUGUCUGUUUUUGCUAUUUAUUUUAUGUUUUUGUGACUGUGUGGAACCCAGUUCAGCUACUGAUUGAUUGAUUGAUUGAUUGAUUGAUUGUGUGACUGCAGUACAUUGUUGAUUGCUUUCAUUUUAUGGAAAAUUCAUGUUAAAUUGCUGUUUUAGGGGUUGCUUUAUAAGUCUGGAACGGAUUAAUCCACUUUGCAUUACUUUCUAUGGGAAAGUGCACCUUGGUUUUGGAACACUUUGGUUUUGGAAUGGACUUCCUGAACAGAUUUAAGUUUGCAAACCAAGGUACCACUGUAGAUAGAGCAGUGGCAUGAGACUCAGUUAACGUAGAUCAGUGCUAGGCUGUUCAAACAUAGAAUGAGUCCUCUGUAACUAACUCCACAAUGUUAUUCACUCCGUUUACUAUUUCCAUGGAUUUUUAGGGUGAUGUUGGACCUCCCGGAUCUGCCGGGCAGCCUUUAUUAGUUGGACCUCCUGAUUCUCAACUGUUAAAGGGAGAAAAGGGUGUAAAAGGAAUGCCUGGAACUAUAGGUGCCAAAGGAUUGCCUGGCCGCAAAGGUUCACUUGGAAUUGGAGAGAAGGGUGAAAGGGGGAUUCCUGGCUUUCCUGGAUUGCGGGGGAGUCCAGGUUCUUAUGGAUCACCAGGAAUUCCAGGAAGCAAGGGUGAAACUGGAAUGGCUGGAUUUCCUGGAGAAGAUGGGCUUCCAGGAAUUAAGGUCAGGUCUCAAAUGCAGAAGGUUCUUUAUAUAUAUCUGUGUUUAUAG
RNAcentral lists this long non-coding RNA (870 nucleotides) under Podarcis muralis (Common wall lizard). RNAcentral's name for it is "lncRNA (ENSPMRG00000016611.1)". The record is from RNAcentral. Lineage: Eukaryota; Metazoa; Chordata; Lepidosauria; Squamata; Lacertidae.